RNAcentral lists this ribosomal RNA (468 nucleotides) under uncultured bacterium. RNAcentral's name for it is "partial 16S ribosomal RNA". It matches the Rfam family "Bacterial small subunit ribosomal RNA", at positions 28 to 507 of the family's 1533-position model. The record is from RNAcentral.
GACGAACGCUGGCGGCGUGCUUAACACAUGCAAGUCGAACGGAAAGGCCCUGCUUGUUGGGUGUUCGCGUGGCGCACGCGUGUGUAUAACGCGGGAGUUCCCUGCCUAACAUUGGGAUAUACCUGGGAGACACGGUGUCUAAUAGCGUAGGGGAGCUCCUUCGUCAUGGUGGUGGUUAGAAAGUUUCGGCGGUUGGGGAUGGACUCGCGGCUUAUCAGCUUGUUGGUGGGGUAGUGGCUUACCAAGGCUUUGACGGGUAGCCGGCCUGAGAGGGUGACCGGCCACAUUGGGACUGAGAUACGGCCCAGACUCCUACGGGAGGCAGCAGUGGGGAAUAUUGCACAAUGGGCGGAAGCCUGAUGCAGCAACGCCGCGUGCGGGAUGACGGCCUUCGGGUUGUAAACCGCUUUCGCCUGUGACGAAGCGUGAGUGACGGUAAUGGGUAAAGAAGCACCGGCUAACUACGUG